GCAUGUUCACAUGAUUAAAGGUAUUCCGGUAGACGAUGGGGAUGCGUUCCAUUAGAUAGUAGGCGGGGUAACGGCCCACCUAGUCUUCGAUGGAUAGGGGUUCUGAGAGGAAGGUCCCCCACAUUGGAACUGAGACACGGUCCAAACUCCUACGGGAGGCAGCAGUGAGGAAUAUUGGUCAAUGGGCGAGAGCCUGAACCAGCCAAGUAGCGUGAAGGAUGACCGCCCUAUGGGUUGUAAACUUCUUUUAUAAAGGAAUAAAGUCGGGUAUGCAUACCCGUUUGCAUGUACUUUAUGAAUAAGGAUCGGCUAACUCCGUGCCAGCAGCCGCGGUAAUACGGAGGAUCCGAGCGUUAUCCGGAUUUAUUGGGUUUAAAGGGAGCGUAGAUGGAUGUUUAAGUCAGUUGUGAAAGUUUGCGGCUCAACCGUAAAAUUGCAGUUGAUACUGGAUAUCUUGAGUGCAGUUGAGGCAGGCGGAAUUCGUGGUGUAGCGGUGAAAUGCUUAGAUAUCACGAAGAACUCCGAUUGCGAAGGCAGCCUGCUAAGCUGCAACUGACAUUGAGGCUCGAAAGUGUGGGUAUCAAACAGGAUUAGAUACCCUGGUAGUCCACACGGUAAACGAUGAAUACUCGCUGUUUGCGAUAUACGGCAAGCGGCC
This 658-nucleotide ribosomal RNA is filed under the name uncultured bacterium. RNAcentral describes it as "bacterial SSU rRNA". It matches the Rfam family "Bacterial small subunit ribosomal RNA", at positions 187 to 848 of the family's 1533-position model. The record is from RNAcentral.